Molecule: ribosomal RNA, 500 nt
Filed under: uncultured bacterium
Lineage: Bacteria
Description: bacterial SSU rRNA
Rfam family: Bacterial small subunit ribosomal RNA
Source: RNAcentral
GACGACGCUGGCGGCGUGCCUAACACAUGCAAGUCGAACGGGACGAUUUAAAGAAGUUUUCGGAUGGAAUUAGAUCGUUUAGUGGCGGACUGGUGAGUAACGCGUGAGCAACCUGCCUCGGAGAGGGGGAAUAACACCGGGAAAACCGGUGCUAAUACCGCAUAAUGUGCGAAGGGGCAUCCCUUUUGCACCAAAGGAGCAAUCCGCUCUGAGAUGGGCUCGCGUCCAAUUAGAUAGUUGGUGGGGUAACGGCCCACCAAGUCUGCGAUUGGUAGCCGGACUGAGAGGUUGAACGGCCACAUUGGGACUGAGAUACGGCCCAGACUCCUACGGGAGGCAGCAGUGGGGAAUAUUAGGCAAUGGGCGGAAGCCUGACCCAGCCAUGCCGCGUGAAGGAAGACGGCCUUAUGGGUUGUAAACUUCUUUACUAUGCGACUAACUAGAUUUACGAGAUAAUUCUAUAGAAUGUAGCAUAGCAAAAAGCACCGGCUAACUCCGUG